CUAGCCGUAAACGAUGGAUACUAGGCGUUGUGAGUAUCGACCCUCACAGUGUCGUAGCUAACGCGUUAAGUAUCCCGCCUGGGGAGUACGCGCGCAAGCGUGAAACUCAAAGGAAUUGACGGGGGCCCGCACAAGCGGUGGAGUAUGUGGUUUAAUUCGAUGCAACGCGAAGAACUUUACCAGGACUUGACAUGUCGCGAAUCUCAGGGAAACUUGAGAGUGCCUUCGGGAGCGCGAACACAGGUGGUGC
Molecule: ribosomal RNA, 250 nt
Filed under: uncultured Chroococcidiopsis sp.
Lineage: Bacteria; Bacillati; Cyanobacteriota; Cyanophyceae; Chroococcidiopsidales; Chroococcidiopsidaceae
Description: partial 16S ribosomal RNA
Rfam family: Bacterial small subunit ribosomal RNA
Source: RNAcentral